AGAACCUGGUAAAGCUGGCCAUACAGAAAAUUAUUUGGGUUUUGCAAGCAAGUUGAUUACUCAUUUCUUACUUUAUUUGAAAAGGCUUGCAUCUGAGAUAGGAUAACAACAUAGGCUGGAGGGGGCUGUUGCCUGGAAAACAGCUCUGCAGAAAAGGAUCUGGAGGUCCUCAAACAUAAUCCAACAAACACGCUUGAAGAAAGAAGGCCAGACUCAUCCUGGGCUGUAUUAGCAAGAGUAUAGCAGCAGAACCAGAGAAGUGAUCAUUCCCCUCUUUUUGGCACCUGUGAGGACGCAUGUGGAGUAGGAGGCCAUCAAGUCACUCAGAGAUUGUAGCAUAUGAUGGACAUGGAGAAGCUGAAGGAGCUGGGUUCAUCUGGCCUGAGGAAGAGCAGGCUCAGGGAACAGCAGUGUCUAUAGCUUCCUGACUGGAGGAUACUGAGAAGAUGGAGCCAGAUUCUUCUUGGACAUGCCUAGCAAUGGAUUCAGAAGCAACAGAUACAAACCGGUACAUGGUAUAUUCUGAUUAGGUAAGGAAAUGGCAAUUUUCAGCACCUGGAAAGAUUCAUUCAUGGGCACAGAAAUAAGAAAUCCCUCCCUGCCACAUGUGGGCACAGUAUGCUUUACUGCAAAACUUAAAUAGGUACUGUAUGCAAGGGAGAAGUCUGAAAGGAACCCAGCCCCUUCUGACAGAUCAUAGGCAUUUUUAGAUUGAAGCUUUAGUCUCUGUAAAUGUCCAAAGUAUGUACAUUAUCUUCAGCUUUGAACCAGAAGAGCAGUGUAAGUAAGACUGGAGACCCUGCCUGGAGUGAAGCAGAGAACUGAAAAUGAUAGCGAAAAGUGCUGGGAGUGGAACACUUACUCCAUAUUCAGGAACUUUUGAGAUACCAAACACAAAAUACUUUGGAGUUUGUUUUAUUCCUUCAAACAAUGUUUCUUCCUGAUGAUAAGUUCUGUUUCUUCUUGAUGGCUAUAGCCUUCCAGACAUCUUAACUAGCUCUUAAUCUCCAAAACCCAAGUAUGCUCUUUAUCCACGUGCCACACAUCCAUAUAUGUGCACAAAACUCUGGUUCACUUAAAAUGUACAGCCCAGAGUCUGUGUCCUGGCUCUCCCGUACCAUUGCUGAUUCAGUUGAAGCAGCAUCAACUCAGUUUUAAAUCUUGAUACCUCACUUUGUCCACACGGGUGAAACACAGUUUGUUUUGAGCAGUGGCUGCUCCUAAUUCCAGUGUUCUCAGAUGGCAACCAGUCUCAGAAGCUGAACUGAUAGAAGUAGAAAAGCAAAACAUUCUUCCAAGUCCCUCGGCCAACUCAUUCAAUAUGCUAGAUCUGCUUCUAGGGGUCUUCUAGAGCUCUGCUUGUUUUGUUUUGCCUGCCUCUACUUUUAUUCGUAUCAACAACCAUCUUCUCUUUGUCCACACAUGCAAAGCAGAAUGCAAACAAAUGCAAAAAAGUACUCCAAAGCUUUCUCCCCUCAGUCACAAAAAGUCUCUGAUGAUGAACAGCAGCUUGUGUUCAGUCCAGCUACAAUGGUAUGUUAAUCUGCUGAGGGUGACCAGGGAAGCUGGGAGCGUUACCCUCAUAAAAUACCUCAGGUGCCCAGUGGAAGCAAAACCAACCCUGGUUAUUACAUAUGGAGCUCAGUUAACACAGUUUAGUAAAGAUAUUUUCUACUCAAUGAGGCACCAAACUGUUGUCAAUAUGACCUGGCUGAUGACAGCGUAUAAUUGUACUUUCUGAUGAGCUAGGCAGUGUGAAUUGGCUUGCCUCCAUAGGGGAAGCUCUUCCCACAUAAAGAGCACCUUCAUGCAAAUUUAUGUAACACCAUUAAAACCAAAGGUUUCUACAUUUAUUUGCCAACUUUGUACAGAAAUGGCUUCUAGUGCCACCAAAAUGCAAAAAAAUAAAAAUAAAAAAUCUUAUUCAAAAUGUAACAAUCACUCUGUGUAAAAGGACUGCAGCUGGCAUUAGACCUAAGCUCAGCUUCCAAUGUUGGAGGUUGAUUUUAGCCUUUAUAUCUUGGCCUACUGUUCCUCCACUUGAACAGAAUCUCAAGGAUACAACAUGAUCUUUUCAUGAUCCUUAGCUAUUGAAAUGCAUACAUUUAUGGAAUAUACGUGCACUCACUUGUGUAACUUUCCAUCAACUAGUCAAAAGAUUUUUCCCAGCAAAGGCUUUCUGUUUGCUGCAGUGACUGGCAUUACCUUUCUUGGGCUAGUGACAUUGAUCAUGUUUUCCAUCCAAGUUGUCACUGUUUAUGAAGAAGUUAACUAACAGAUUUUCCCAAAAUAAAAACAAAGAAAAACAACAUAAAUGGAACAGAAAAGGCUUUUUUCUUCUCCCCAGUUCCAAAAGCAAAAAUCUUGAAACUCCUUUGUUGCUAAGAAAUUAGAAGACACAGAAAAUUCUAAAGCAGUGUUGGUCAGCCAUGGACUUACCUGGAAGUAAUGUGUUUUUCUCUGUAGACACUUCUAUCUAUACAGGCAGAUGAUAAUUCAAUAACGAAUGUCAAUAGUUAAAUACCUCGGAAAGUAGCUUGCCACUACAUCAUUAAAAAGCAGGAGCAAUCCAUUGUGCUUGAUUAUAUGUGAGAAAUAAAACCACACAAAGAUUUUU
This is a long non-coding RNA of Gallus gallus (chicken), 2617 nucleotides long. The record is from Ensembl. Lineage: Eukaryota; Metazoa; Chordata; Aves; Galliformes; Phasianidae.